RNAcentral lists this unclassified non-coding RNA (1190 nucleotides) under Leishmania donovani. RNAcentral describes it as "gene:LdHU3.30.0920(CDS-product:hypothetical_prote in_conserved)". The record is from RNAcentral. Lineage: Eukaryota; Euglenozoa; Kinetoplastea; Trypanosomatida; Trypanosomatidae.
UACACAAUGCGUCACUCACUGAGGUUUCUCUCGGCCACGAGAGCGCAUCUUGCCGAUUACAUCGAUUACUUGCGGCAGGUAGACAAAGAGCUCCCCUCACUUCACGAUAUCUUUCCAAAGUCUAACGCAGUCGAGGAUGUGGUCAAGUUUCACGCGUCUCUUUGUGCCGCCAUGGAGGAGAACGCAUACCCUCUCAUAGGCUUUAAGGUUCUACCGCCCGAACAUGAGGCUAUUACUACCCUGCGCGGUACGCAGCCUGUUUGUUUUCCCAUCUUCUCGAAUCUUUUCCAAAGAAAAAGUGUAUCUGUCAAGCAAGAUCGACUCCAGUACAUCGAAACUGCGAUAUGCCUUGAGGUCAAACAUUUGGAAGACUGCAGCACGGUCGACGAAGCUUCACUCAACACCGGUGCAUUCUCUCCAAGCCUUGAAGUGUCUGGGUCACGGUUUCCGUUCUACGCACCAACACUGACUGCAAUGGCAUGUGAUCUUGACGGAUGCGUCAGCAUCACAAAAGGUUGUAACAUCUCCAUGGACAGUAUCAAAAGAGAGAGUUUGACGACUACCCGUUUUGUCUUGACGCACAACCAAGAGCCGAUUCAGACGGGCUCAGCAAAACUGUGCAUGGGAACUCCAUUCACUGCUGUCGUCACCGCGGCUGCAUACGCAAAGGCGAUCAAAGCACCUACAAAGAAAAGCCUCUUUGUUUUUUGUGGUGGUGUGUCUCCACGUACACCCAUUCAGGUCGGCACCUACGCUUUCGAAUGGGGCCGCUUUGGUCGGCUUACAUAUUCGGUCCUCCCUUGAGAGUACUUGUAUUGGUCACACAGAAAAGUGAAAACGAGCCCACUGACGGACAGCGCUGUCACUGUCUUCUGCGGCUGCAAGGAAGCUACCGUGCGUUUGUUUGCGUACGUGCUACCAACGGAUUACCGAGCUGUGUGUGUGUGUGUGUGUGUGUGUGUGUGGCGACGUUGCUCCGCUGCCACAUCACGCGGCAUUGUUUGCUUCGAAAGUUUGCCCAUACAGACUAUAGUGUUGCCCACUCGCUAUUCCACAAUGAAGAGGUUGAAUAACCGGAGAAAUGGUUCAAAGCUCAUCCUUGAAAGAGAGGGUAACACACCCACUACUGAUGAAGCCUCCAUUUUUUCGUCUCUUUCUGCACAUGUGCUCAAUUUGGCUACCUCGCUUAG